RNAcentral lists this ribosomal RNA (443 nucleotides) under uncultured bacterium. RNAcentral describes it as "partial 16S ribosomal RNA". It matches the Rfam family "Bacterial small subunit ribosomal RNA", at positions 338 to 795 of the family's 1533-position model. The record is from RNAcentral.
CCUACGGGGGGCUGCAGUGGGGGAUAUUGGACAAUGGGGGGAACCCUGAUCCAGCGACGCCGCGUGAGUGAAGAAGUAUUUCGGUAUGUAAAGCUCUGUCAGCAGGGAAGAAAGAAAUGACGGUACCUGACCAAGAAGCCCCGGCUAACUACGUGCCAGCAGCCGCGGUAAUACGUAGGGGGCAAGCGUUAUCCGGAAUUACUGGGUGUAAAGGGAGCGUAGACGGCAGCGCAAGUCUGGAGUGAAAUGCCGGGGCCCAACCCCGGAACUGCUCUGGAAACUGUGAAGCUGGAGUGCAGGAGAGGUAAGCGGAAUUCCUGGUGUAGCGGUGAAAUGCGUAGAUAUCAGGAGGAACACCGGCGGCGAAGGCGGCUUACUGGACUGUAACUGACGUUGAGGCUCGAAGGCGUGGGGAGCAAACAGGAUUAGAUACCCGAGUAGUC